Molecule: non-coding RNA, 73 nt
Organism: Trichonephila inaurata madagascariensis
Lineage: Eukaryota; Metazoa; Arthropoda; Arachnida; Araneae; Nephilidae
Source: the annotation of a GenBank genome assembly
GUCCCUGUAGCACAAUGGAUAGCGCAUUGGACUUCUAAUCCAAAGGUCGUGGGUUCGAGUCCUGCCUGGGAUG